Molecule: long non-coding RNA, 685 nt
Organism: Glycine soja
Lineage: Eukaryota; Viridiplantae; Streptophyta; Magnoliopsida; Fabales; Fabaceae
Exons: 2
Source: RefSeq, a predicted model, not a curated record
UUUUCCUUUUACCCACCUUACCUCAAAAAAAAAAAAAAAAAACGUUGCGCAGAACGACGCCGUAUUGCCAUGACAUGUCUAUCUAUCAACCAACCUGAACCUCUUCAGCGAAGGAUCCUCAAAGUUUGAAUAAAACGACGUCGUUUCGAGACGGAUUCCAUUGAACACAUUUCAACGCAGAUGAGAUCUCUUGAAAUUGCUCGAUUUUCCAGGCUCAGGUUUCGAGAAAAUCCAUCUUGUCCGUUUGACAACUUCUCCCUGUAGCAAUGGCAAAGUAAUCAGUCAAUUACUAAUUUGCAAUCUUGCUGUUUGAUGAUAGAUGAAACUCUUCCAAGUGCUGUUUUUCUUUGUGAAAUUCUUUAGUACUUUUGGAGCAAAUGAAAAUCCCUUACUCUGUCUCAUAUGUAUGAGCUAUCCCUUUAACUAGUUUUUUUGUUGACAGAGUACACAUUCUAGGUAGAGAACAAGAAAUUUCUUACUCUGGGAGUAACUAAAUUUCUAGUCUUUCUUUUAAGUACAAGAUCCCAGCCUAGAGUCUUUGAACUGCUGUUUAGAGGGAUUUACAUGGAAAUUAGGAAUUCUUAUGGGAGUUGCCUUAUGCAGGAGUAGGAUUAAUUAUUAUGUUUUAUGGUACAAUGUCAUUCCCAUGUUUCUACUGCAGUAAACCCCUCUUUUAAUUUCUUCU